Actinia tenebrosa (Australian red waratah sea anemone) is the source of this 311-nucleotide long non-coding RNA. RefSeq lists it as uncharacterized. Lineage: Eukaryota; Metazoa; Cnidaria; Anthozoa; Actiniaria; Actiniidae. The record is from RefSeq and is a predicted model, not a curated record.
CACACAUGUGCUCACUUGUUUUUCAAUUUGUGCCGCUUGCAGACAUUGUGAAUAUUGCUGGAAUAUUUUCCUCAACGUUUGAAGACUUGUGUCUUGAAGAAUGAUUGAGUGACCAUGGGCCAGGACAGAGGAUAAAACAGAAAAUGCCAUUAAUAAUGGAAAAACUACAGCACAGUACUAGCAAAGAGAGGAGAGAUGAGAAUCAAACAGUGGAAUGCAUGAGAGCACUGAUUAAGCUCAGAUCAGAAGUCAAGCUUCACAUGAACUGUACGCAUUGAAAACAAUGAAUAAUAAAGCAGUCUUAUUUAUCA